AGUCGACGGACGAAUGAGUGAAGUUUAUUUUUCUUAUGAGUUAGUGGCGGACGGGUGACUAACACGUGUAUAAUCUACCUGCUACACCGGUAUAACGCUGUGAAAACGGUGCUAAUACCGGAUACCUUCCCUUGGACGCAUGUCUGACGGAAGAAAGCUCCGACGGUUGCAGAUGAGUCCGCGGCUGAUUAUCUAGUUGGUGAGGUAACGGCCCACCAAGGCGAUGAUCAGUAUCCGGCCUGAGAGGGUGAACGGCCACACUGGGACUGAGACACGGCCCAGACUCCUGCGGGAGGCAGCAGUGGGGAAUCUUCCGCAAUGGGCGCUAGCCUGACGGAGCUACGCCGCGUGAGCGAAGAUGGCCUUCGGGUUGUAAAGCUCUGUCUUAUGGGACGAAGUCAGUGACGGUACCUUAAGAGGAAGCCACGGCUAACUACGUGCCAGCAGCCGCGGUAAUACGUAGGUGGCGAGCGUUGUCCGGAAUUACUGGGCGUAAAGGGCGCGCAGGCGGGUUUUUAAGUCAGAUGUGUAAUCUACA
RNAcentral lists this ribosomal RNA (538 nucleotides) under uncultured bacterium. RNAcentral describes it as "bacterial SSU rRNA". It matches the Rfam family "Bacterial small subunit ribosomal RNA", at positions 60 to 605 of the family's 1533-position model. The record is from RNAcentral.